This is a long non-coding RNA of Lolium perenne, 1634 nucleotides long. RefSeq lists it as uncharacterized. NCBI's taxonomy places the organism in Eukaryota, Viridiplantae, Streptophyta, Magnoliopsida, Poales, Poaceae. The record is from RefSeq and is a predicted model, not a curated record.
UCCAGCGCAAACCAUUCCCCUCUAUCGAUUCCUUCGCUUUCCCCGCUCCGUCCUACCUCCAUUUAACUAGCCCCACUGUCUUCUUCGCUCCGCCUCAUCCUCGUGGUCAAGCUUCUCACCAACAUCAGCUACCUGGCCACCUUGGGAGAGAUCGAUAUCUCGAGCACAGCAUCAGGACUCAGGAGGGGAUACACUUUCAGUUUCAGGCCACCGCACAGAUAUCCGCAGCGCAUCGCAAAAUCAGACGACAAGAUGCAGAUGGUACUGGUGAUAUCGCUGCCCCUGGUGGCGCUGGUCAUCAUCAUCGCCGUCAUCCUCUGCAUCAUCUGCCGUUAGGUUAACCAUCUCGCCGUUCGCCGGCAGGACGGACGGACUCCCCGUCCUAUCAUGUAGUAGUCUCGUAGUCUUGUUUGCUUUGUCGUACUGCCGUUGCGCAUUGGUCAAGAUGUGAUUUUAUACCUUUUUCUUUCUCUCUUCUAGCUUGAUUAUCGACGUGAAAUGUAUUGCCGAUUGAUCCAUGUGUGCGUACGUGUGGAGUGCGGUAGCGCGUACUACCGUUGUUUAAUGUAAAGCUGUCUACGGAUUUCUCCGAUUGUUUGCCAUGCUUUCAGCAGAGUGUAAUUGGAAAAGUGGCACUUGGCCCUGCUGAUGAUAAGAAAGCAAUAGAGUGAGCUGGAGUGCUUACAGGAAAAUUAAAAAACCACAAGCGGCUCUAGUACCAAACUCGAACAGAAAUGUAAAGCUCACGGUCUCACACAGCACAGGAGCUGGGCUACAACCGGUGAGGCAACAGCAAAGCAAGACAUGGAUCUCUAAUUACGCUCUUGUCUGUGGUCUGUAAUCUGUAUUCAGUGUUCACGUCUGUCCGUCCGUCCAACCAAACGCCCGAUCGGCCAAGGGCGAAGGCACCGUCCACCACCGAACCCAAACAUCUCCGACGGUCACCGUCAGGGUUCAGGCAGGCCAGUGGCGCCGGAGUCCUCGGUUCACACUCGCGACCGCGAGCCACACGUCACGCGUCUUUCCGCUUCUCCUUUCUUCUCCACCCCACUCUAGCCGAUUAGUUUAGCACACGCACCAGCCAAACCACCUGCUUUUCUCCUCCUCUGCCCCCUUCUCCCCCCCUACUACUACUCCCCUCCGUCUCUUCUCGAGCAGAUCAAGGGGCGCCAGGAGCAGCAACAAGAUCGCCGGAUCGAUCGGCAGCUCGGUUCGUCGCAGGCAAGAGCGGAUGGAGUUCGUGCUGAUCAUAUCCCUGCCGCUCCUCAUCCUGAUCGUGAUCAUCGCCGUCGUCCUCUGCAUCGUGUGCCGCUAGCUAGAUGUCGACGCCCAGAACAACCAGCAGAUCGUCUCUGCUGUGACUCUGAUCAUACCAUAUGUUAAUUAAUGCAUGAUUAUUACAUCAUGCUGACUCGACUAAAAGAAAGCUCUUCUCCGCCUCUGCCUUUCCCGUUUCAGUCAUUGUGGCGUGAGUAGCUGCUCUAGCUUUAUUACCUUUGCUGGUGGCAACAACGACGUUGAUUCCUUGUGUCCAUACUCAAUAGUACAUAUAUGUUGUGAUGUAAGAAGAACAAUUCCCUCACUGCUCUAAUUCGGGGAGAUUUCAUACCUGAAAAAAGUCACCCUUUUCUUUC